AACCUGGAUUGAAAUUACAAGUGACACUCUACAUCGUAUAACAGCUUCACAUCUCCUCAGAAAGGAGAGGUGUGCCACCACGCUUGGAAAGCACAGUAAUUCAUAUUCAGUUGGGCUUACACCCAGGCACCACUCUUAUUGCUCUCAAAGAGGCAACAUGAAAGUCAUGCAGAUUUCAACUAUAGUUAUUUCUGGAAGUGUCAAAAAUGGAAGGGAAUAGCCUCUCUCCCACGUUUUUAAUAAGCUUAGAAACAAAACACAGGAAUAUUUUCUCAUCAUGUUGAAUUGCUGAAUGAACACUGACACUUCUGUCCUGAAGCAAAUGAUGCUACAGAGAGCUAUGCGGUCUCCGAGGUGAUGGAAGGCAAUUAUUACCACACUGCUCCUCAGUUGCUGAGUGGAGCCUCUAGCUUUACACAUGGGCUCUGCCAUACCAAUGCCCCAGGCACAGACAGACUGCAACCACUGGACAUGGUGUCCAAACCAUGCAGUAUUACCUGCUGUUUUGUUGUUUUGGGUUUUGUUUGUUUGUAAUUUAUGCAUGCUGAUAUACCUAUUGCCAUUAUUUCCAUUCAGAUCACUACAGGCAGUAACUGGAACCAGUGAGCCCUAACCAGGGCUUUGAUCUGCUAUUCCUUUUGUACAGAAGUAUUUCUGUAGCAAAACCCUUCACAACCGCUAUGGUGCAAGCUGGCAGAUGACAGCAGGGAGAACUCUGAAGAAUAUUUAUAGGAAUCUGAACUGGAACCAAGACAAAGACAGGACUUCAGCUCCCUGGUGAAGGAAAAGACCAUGAAAGCUGGGAGAACACGAAGUGCUUUAUACCAUGCCUGUCCUUAAGUUUUUCUGACAAAAAACACAACAAAUAGCUGUGAAGAUCUAGAAUUACAUACUUAAUACGAAGCAACACUAAAUCUGAGCAUGGCACAGAAACCAAAGCCUUGGACAAGCAAGAAUCCUCCAAAUUUCUUGACAACCAGCAGUUUCUGGAUUAGAUCUAACACCUGUUCAAAGAAAGCCACAAGCAUCGUUUAUCAGCUUCCUGAUCUCAGAGGACAGCACGAGCUGACAACUCACUUUAUAUCACUCAGAGCAACAUUUUGCAAAUGCCUUGUGGCCACUGCUAAUAGCUGGAAGCAAUCAGUGUCCACCAGCACUGAGGACCACAUGCUCUUAAUGUAAAUUUCCAGCUCAAUUAAUAAAAUGACACCAAGGACAGUGUGACUGUUCUGUCUGGAAUUCUUAGAAGGGUAUUGACUAAAUCUUCACUCCUGCAGAGGGCACAGAAUCAGAGCAUUUGCAUGCCUCUGAUCAGUAUUUGGUGCCCAAUGUGGCUGUCACGAACGGGCAAAACUGCCACUUUUUUCUUCUCUCUCUCUUUUUUUGCUUUGUUUUGUUGUCAGCAUUGAACCCGGGAAUGAAGGAUCUCACUUGUUGGCCAGGCAUCCGCUGAGCUCUAACUGCACCCAUGGCACCCUACCUGCGCUCGGCCCUCCAUGCUGGAAACUUGUUUCAAUGCUACUGAACCCCAACUGCUGCCAGGCCUUAUACAACACUAAAACCCGGUGGCAGGAGGGGACAAGCAGCCCAGCACCUCCCCGCUGCCCUGCCAGUUGGCACACACAGCUGUGCUGGAGCAGAUGCUGACAUACACUCUUCCCAAUUGUUCCCAGCCAGCAAGGCCAGCAGAUUUACAGAAAUAACAAGAAACUUGUGACCAUUUUGCUCCA
This is a long non-coding RNA of Cygnus olor (mute swan), 1730 nucleotides long. RefSeq lists it as uncharacterized. NCBI's taxonomy places the organism in Eukaryota, Metazoa, Chordata, Aves, Anseriformes, Anatidae. The transcript is spliced from 4 exons. The record is from RefSeq and is a predicted model, not a curated record.